GAUGAACGCUGGCGGCGUGCUUAACACAUGCAAGUCGAACGGAAAGGCCGAAGCUUGCUUCGGUACUCGAGUGGCGAACGGGUGAGUAACACGUGGGUGAUCUGCCCUGUACUUCGGGAUAAGCUUGGGAAACUGGGUCUAAUACCGGAUAUGACAAUCUCUUGGAUGGGGUUGUGGAAAGCUUUUGCGGUAUGGGAUGAGCUCGCGGCCUAUCAGCUUGUUGGUGGGGUAAUGGCCUACCAAGGCGUCGACGGGUAGCCGGCCUGAGAGGGUGUACGGCCACAUUGGGACUGAGAUACGGCCCAGACUCCUACGGGAGGCAGCAGUGGGGAAUAUUGCACAAUGGGCGCAAGCCUGAUGCAGCGACGCCGCGUGGGGGAUGACGGCCUUCGGGUUGUAAACUCCUUUCGCAACCGACGAAGCUUUUGUGACGGUAGGUUGAGAAGAAGCACCGGCUAACUACGUGC
This 467-nucleotide ribosomal RNA is filed under the name uncultured bacterium. Its description in RNAcentral is "partial 16S ribosomal RNA". It matches the Rfam family "Bacterial small subunit ribosomal RNA", at positions 28 to 508 of the family's 1533-position model. The record is from RNAcentral.